Sorghum bicolor (sorghum) is the source of this 2786-nucleotide long non-coding RNA. RefSeq lists it as uncharacterized. Lineage: Eukaryota; Viridiplantae; Streptophyta; Magnoliopsida; Poales; Poaceae. The transcript is spliced from 3 exons. The record is from RefSeq and is a predicted model, not a curated record.
UCUUCCCUUCCCCUCCCUCUCUCUCUUUCUCCCGACCUCUCCAGAAACGGGUAGGGCAGCGGCGCCGCCAGCCCCGGCCGAUGCCUGUCCCCCGACGUGGCGGCGACCCUCCUCCUCGUCCACCAUCCUCUGUGUAGGAUCCUCUACCCAUCUCCAUCUUUAAUCUCCGGUUUCGCUCCUUCUCCCGCUCUCCUCGUGCAGGUUGGGCGACCAUGACAGCGGCGGUGCUCCACGUGGCGGUGACCGGUGCUCGGCACGGAGGUUGCCGCCCUACUCCUUCCCUCCCUCUCCCCCCUCCCUUCCUCCCUCCCUCCCCCUCGCAUGGCAGCCGUUGCGCCGAAACCCUAUCUGCCAUUUGAGCGUGUUGCCAAGCGUCCACGCCAUCCACAUCUCCCUUCCUUGUCUAAUGCUUCAUAUCUUCCUGAUGCUUUGGUUAACUCUGAGAACCAAUGAGAUUUCGAGAUGCAGGUUCUAGCCUUAAAAAUCAGGAAAAAAAUCCUCCGAUGGUGCAGUGGAAAAAAAUUCUAGCGAUGGAGCACAAUUUCAUAGCAGCAAAGUGAAGACGUGAAACCCAAGUGCCUUUUGUGUUAGAGCAGAUGAAGAAAAACUGAAGAGAGUUUCGAACCUGCCAAAUUUCUCCUUGCUCCUCCUGACCUCCUUAUGCUACUGUUGCUUCAUGAACCUCCAAAGGUGAAAAAUUCUUCUACCAGAAUAUGUAAAAACAGGUAUGUGCAUUAUCACUUAAUUGCAGUAUGAGAACAAGUAUGUGCAUUAUCACUUAAAUGCACUAAACAGGUAUGUGCAUUAUUACCGAAUAGCUGGAUUGUUGGUGCUCCCUCCCUCUCUCCCUUACCCCCUCUCACCCUCUCUCCUUGGAGCUUCACCUUUGGCCAUGAAUCGAUUUUUUAAAAAUAUUUUCUCAAACCAGCCACAUUUGCUGCCAACCAUGAGCUAAUUUGUGUUUUGCUAUUUUUAGAUAAAAAUGAUUCCAGGUUUACACACAAAAAAAUGGAUACCUCAUUUAUUUUUGCGCACCCAAAGUGAUUUGAUGUUUAGCAAACUGAAAUUUGGGGGUGGUUGAUGGAGGUUCGGCUCGCAUCUCUUUUUUUUUUUUUUUGGCUAUGUCAUCUGCCACAUGCAGGCUUUCUUUUUCAAAAGUCUCAUUUCCAACCUUAUUUGUAUAUUGUCAGGUUUGUGCUUUUUUAUAAUCAUUUGCUUAUUUUAGAUGAUAAACCAUAGUUUAUGCAUUUUAAAUAAAGCAUAACACGGCAAACUGUUUUUCUAUUCAUUGUCGUCAAUUUUGACAUCACCUGUGUUUUUCCCUGUGCUCAACAACAACAUAUGAAAGGAGCCUAAUAUUUUCUGGUUAUAUCUUGAGGCCAUGGGUAUUGAAGAAUUGACAAUUAUUAAAUGUAUGUACUGCACAAAAACAAUUAAUAGGUGUCCUCUGCAUACUUACUCUAAGCAUAUGUUGUAAUUAAUGAGAGAAAGGAGAAAGUGGGCCUACCUCUCUACCCAGAUUGUUGACAUCAGAAGGUUUUUUAUGAAAGAUAUUUGUGUUGACAUUGUCCAUAUGUUUUUAAAAUUUCACUGUGCCUAAUAUAUUUAUGAGACCUGUUUUUUCUUUUCAUCCUUAUGAGUUCUGAUUUUGAACUGCUCAAAUCAGGAGUUUUCGGAUCAUGCUUUUUCCAUUCUAAAUUUUCUUCUCUCCAUGGUACAGUCAAUAGGUCUGGACCCAUAAAAUUCUCUUGGUUUCGACAUUGACGAUGGAGAAAUAAUGGGAGGAAAGACAACAACAUGUGACCAUUGAUGGUGAUUUCUUGUUUAAUCCAACCACUUCGAUUUUCUUUUUGCACACAUGAUAACCUGGUGCAUCUGGAUUUAACUUUUGCUUCAUUUUGGAGUCCACCGGCCCAUGUUCCUCUCGCUCGUGUCUGCUGUGUCAUGCGUGCUGCUCGGAGGUUGCAUCAUAAGAAUUUUAUUUGUGCACAAUAAUGUCUAUAUGUGUUUUCCCAUGUUUUUUAUUUUUAAAGUUUGCAUUUGUUGUAGUUUAAGGACCACGCACAAAAACACUGCAAUAUUCCCUAUGUCCAUUCACUAAUACAUUUGCUCCUCUAAUUAUUUACUCCUCAAAUUUAUCUAUCACGCCCAAUAAAAGGAUAAUUAUGUGAAAUGUUAUGGCGUCCUAUAAAAGAUAAUGGAGGAAGUAUCUUACAUGUGCUUCUUAUGUUUUUAGGCUUCAGCCUCAUUUCCCAUUGCAUUAUUGGUAUGUAUAUAUUUUUUGUCAUCCUUGCUGAAACAACAUCAUAUUUCUAUUGUAUGCACAUAUGGAAUAAAUCAACGCUGGUAGUACUGCACUAUCCUGGUAAGCUCCUCAAAGCAAUCAAAAUCUACAGAAACUUUUUUACCUAUUUAUUUUUGAAUACGCUUCCAUGUAUAUAUACUAUAGUUUAGAUAGUUUUCCACUAAAGGCUACUCCUGAUAUUCUCAGAUACUUGAUAAGACUAACCUAGAGACAUUGGAGAUUACAAAGGAAGAACUUUUUGCAAGUCUCAAAGGUGUUUAUCAUGGUUCUGUUUACAUAGGUUUGUUUUUAAUUUACACCUCCCAUUUUACCUUUGAUAUGUCAAGCUAUAGUUCACUUCAAAACUUUAUAUUGUUUUGCUUGUUUUGGUGUCAUUCAUAUAUGUAUGCAUUUCCUCCGGUGAAUGCACUUCAAAACUGCCUUAGCAUCUGUUUAUAUGUGUUCCUAGCAACCUUAUGAAUCAGAGUUGUUCUAUAUUAUA